GAAUUUUUCACCUGCUACUACAAUUAAUUAACAAACAACCUAUCCACGGCCUUCCUCUACUGAACAUACCUGGCCUCUAAGGACCUCCUGAAUUACCUCAGGCUUUGGCCAUUUUGGACCGUCUGUCUCUACUACUACCCCACUGAAUUUUUCACCUGCUACUACAAUUAAUUAACAAACAACCUAUCCACGGCCUUCCUCUACUGAACAUACCUGGCCUCUAAGGACCUCCUGAAUUACCUCAGGCUUUGGCCAUUUUGGACAGUCUGUCUCUACUACUACCCCACUGAAUUUUUCACCUGCUACUACAAUUAAUUAACAAACAACCUAUCCACGGCCUUCCUCUACUGAACAUACCUGGCUUCUAAGGACCUCCUGAAUUACCUCAGGCUUUGGCCAUUUUGGACAGUCUGUCUCUACUACUACCCCACUGAAUUUUUCACCUGCUACUACAAUUAAUUAACAAAGUAUGUUUGCACAUUUGGCUCAUCCUGAAUGAAAUUGCUUGUUCAUUGGCUUGUACAUACUGUUUUUGCC
Protopterus annectens (West African lungfish) is the source of this 537-nucleotide long non-coding RNA. RefSeq lists it as uncharacterized. The record is from RefSeq and is a predicted model, not a curated record. The transcript is spliced from 4 exons. NCBI's taxonomy places the organism in Eukaryota, Metazoa, Chordata, Ceratodontiformes, Protopteridae.